Molecule: ribosomal RNA, 288 nt
Filed under: uncultured bacterium
Lineage: Bacteria
Description: partial 16S ribosomal RNA
Rfam family: Bacterial small subunit ribosomal RNA
Source: RNAcentral
GUGGAUUAGAUACCCCGGUAGUCCUAGCCGUAAACGGUGAUCACUAGGUGUUGGAGGCAUCGACCCCUCCAGUGCCGCAGCUAACGCAUUAAGUGAUCCGCCUGGGGAGUACGGCCGCAAGGUUGAAACUCAAAGGAAUUGACGGGGGCCCGCACAAGCGGUGGAGCAUGUGGUUUAAUUCGACGCAACGCGAAGAACCUUACCCAGACUUGACAUGCAUCGGACCGGUGUGGAAACACACCUUCCCUUCGGGGCCGGUGCACAGGUGCUGCACGGUUGUCGACAGCU